UUAAGGUCAUUUACCAUUGUGAGGAGCAGCAAAUUCCCUGGUUGGUUUGGUCGUUGGUUUAUAAAAAUUGCACCAUUUGUCAAGUACAGUCAAACCUCGGUUUUCGAACGUCUCUGUUCUCGACCAAAUCGGUUUUCAACUAAUUUCGACGCACAUGAAUGCACCACUCGACUCCUCUCGCCUUCCUUACACGAGGAAGUGACGCUUCCUCGGGUAGACGAGGAAGUGACGCUUCCUCGUGUAGCAUUCCAUUGUGAGUGGACGUGUUCAAUAAAUAUUACAAAAAAGCGUCCAAUUUGAGCGUGUUCAAUAAGGAUUUUUAAAAAAAGCAUCGUGUUUGUUGACAUCUACACAUAUCGGACUGUUAUUUCUGCAUUGUGUAUCAGCCCCUAAUCAUGUCACCAAAGAAAGCAGGUGGAAGUAGUCCAGCUGGUGGAAAAAAAGAGGAAAAUAGUGUGCAAAACUAUUGAAUUUAAGAAGGUUUGAUUGCAAAAUAUUAAUCAAGUGUACGUCUAUCUAUGUUGGCUAAGGAGUUCGCCAUGCCGAAAUCAACGAUGAGCAGCAUCUUAACAAAGAAAGACCAUCUUAAAGUCACUGAUGUGGCGAAAGAAUCUCGUGUGUUGGGCCACAAAUAUUAGAGGAAGUGGAGAAACCUUUGCUUGUUUUCAUAAAUGAGAAACAGCUAGCAGGGGACAGUCUUAGCCAAGGUACGAUUUGUGGCAAAGCAAGACAAUUUAUUGGAGAUUUGAUAAGGAUUGCUCCUGAAGAAUUCGACUUUAAAGCAAGCAGAGGAUGGUUCGAAAAGUUUAGGAAAAGAAGUGGGAUACACUCCGUGAUUCGUCAUGGGGAGGCAGCCAGUUCAGACAAGGAAGCUGCCGAAAAGUUUAAAGCUGAGUUUGAAAAUCUCAUCAAGGCCGAGGAAUAUCUUCCCCAGCAAACUUUUAAUAUGGACGAGACUGGACUUGUGUGGAUAAAGUGGUUCAGAAAAUGGAUGGAAGGAUGUUACCUCAUACCGUAGAGUUGAGUUGCAGAGAGAGAUUCCAUAGUUACAGCCAUUACUUUAGGAUGUAUUAGUUCAAGGUGUAAAAUAAUGAAAUCUACAAUUGUCAUGAUGAGAUAGAGA
Long non-coding RNA from Hippocampus zosterae (dwarf seahorse), 1123 nucleotides. RefSeq lists it as uncharacterized. The record is from RefSeq and is a predicted model, not a curated record. The transcript has 3 exons. NCBI's taxonomy places the organism in Eukaryota, Metazoa, Chordata, Actinopteri, Syngnathiformes, Syngnathidae.